This 279-nucleotide ribosomal RNA is filed under the name uncultured bacterium. RNAcentral describes it as "partial 16S ribosomal RNA". It matches the Rfam family "Bacterial small subunit ribosomal RNA", at positions 506 to 784 of the family's 1533-position model. The record is from RNAcentral.
UGCCAGCCGCCGCGGUAAUACGGAGGGUGCAAGCGUUACUCGGAAUCACUGGGCGUAAAGAGAGUGUAGGCGGACUAUUAAGUCGGGUGUGAAAUCCUGCGGCUCAACCGAGGAACUGCACUCGAUACUGGCGGGCUUGAGUCCGCGAGGGGUGAACGGAAUUCCUGGUGUAGCGGUGGAAUGCGUAGAUAUCAGGAAGAACACCGAUGGCGAAGGCGGUUCACUGGCGCGGCACUGACUCUGAGGGACGAAAGCAUGGGUAGCGAACAGGAUUAGAUA